This is a small nuclear RNA of Pipistrellus kuhlii (Kuhl's pipistrelle), 107 nucleotides long. The record is from RefSeq and is a predicted model, not a curated record. NCBI's taxonomy places the organism in Eukaryota, Metazoa, Chordata, Mammalia, Chiroptera, Vespertilionidae.
GUACUUGCUUUGUCAGCACAUAGACUAAAAUUGGGAUGAUACUGAGAAUAUUAGCAUGGCCUUUGUGCAAGGAUGACAUGCACAUUUGUGAAGCGUUCCAUAUUUGA